Molecule: ribosomal RNA, 253 nt
Filed under: uncultured bacterium
Lineage: Bacteria
Description: partial 16S ribosomal RNA
Rfam family: Bacterial small subunit ribosomal RNA
Source: RNAcentral
GACAUAGGUUGCGAACGUUAUCCGGAAUUAUUGGGCGUAAAGAGCGUGUAGGCGGCCAGGUAGGUACGUUGUGAGAACUGGAGGCUUAACCUCCAGCUGUCGAUGGAAACCAUCUGGCUAGAGUCCGGAAGAGGAGAGUGGAAUUCCUGGUGUAGCGGUGAAAUGCGCAGAUAUCAGGAAGAACACCCGUGGCGAAGGCGGCUCUCUGGGACGGUACUGACGCUGAGACGCGAAAGCGUGGGGAGCGAACAGG